Molecule: transfer RNA, 88 nt
Filed under: Fidelibacterota bacterium
Lineage: Bacteria; Pseudomonadati; Fidelibacterota
Also listed under: 1 other name
Description: tRNA-Ser
Rfam family: tRNA
About the family: Transfer RNA (tRNA) molecules are approximately 80 nucleotides in length. Their secondary structure includes four short double-helical elements and three loops (D, anti-codon, and T loops).
Source: RNAcentral
GGAGAGGUGUCCGAGUGGCUGAAGGAGCACGCUUGGAAAGCGUGUAAACGGCAACGUUUCGUGGGUUCGAAUCCCACCCUCUCCGCCA